This 252-nucleotide ribosomal RNA is filed under the name uncultured bacterium. Its description in RNAcentral is "partial 16S ribosomal RNA". It matches the Rfam family "Bacterial small subunit ribosomal RNA", at positions 524 to 776 of the family's 1533-position model. The record is from RNAcentral.
UACGUAGGUGGCGAGCGUUAUCCGGAAUGAUUGGGCGUAAAGGGUGCGUAGGCGGCCUGCUAAGUCUGGAGUGAAAGGUACCGGCUCAACCGGUACAGGCUCUGGAAACUGGCGGGCUAGAGAGCAGGAGAGGGCGGUGGAACUCCAUGUGUAGCGGUAAAAUGCGUAGAUAUAUGGAAGAACACCAGUGGCGAAGGCGGCUCUCUGGUCUGCAACUGACGCUGAGGCUCGAAAGCAUGGGUAGCGAACAGG